RNAcentral lists this ribosomal RNA (253 nucleotides) under uncultured bacterium. RNAcentral describes it as "partial 16S ribosomal RNA". It matches the Rfam family "Bacterial small subunit ribosomal RNA", at positions 524 to 776 of the family's 1533-position model. The record is from RNAcentral.
UACAGAGGUCCCAAGCGUUGUUCGGAUUCACUGGGCGUAAAGGGUGCGUAGGCGGUCGGGUAAGUCUGGCGUGAAAUCUCCAAGCCUAACUUGGAAACUGCGUUGGAUACUAUCCGGCUCGAGGAAUGGAGGGGAGACUGGAAUUCCUGGUGUAGCGGUGAAAUGCGCAGAUAUCAGGAGGAACACCGGUGGCGAAGGCGGGUCUCUGGGCCGAUACUGACGCUGAGGAGCGAAAGCGUGGGGAGCGAACAGG